CACCGAAGUCAAGCAUCAUUGGGCGCGGUCAGUACUUGGGUGGGUGACCACCUGGGAAUACUGCGUGCCGUU
RNAcentral lists this ribosomal RNA (72 nucleotides) under Caerostris extrusa. Lineage: Eukaryota; Metazoa; Arthropoda; Arachnida; Araneae; Araneidae. The record is from RNAcentral.